This 329-nucleotide long non-coding RNA is filed under the name Mytilus galloprovincialis (Mediterranean mussel). Lineage: Eukaryota; Metazoa; Mollusca; Bivalvia; Mytilida; Mytilidae. The record is from RNAcentral.
AAAUAUAGCCAAAACAUGACUCACUACACUUAAAGAUUAGGUAUUUAGCUAAUCAUUAAUGAAAAAAUGUCUCUGGGUAAACAUAUUUUAAAUCAAUGGCGGAUAAUUCAAAUUGGGUCAUAUUAGGGUUGUAAACUGUUCAUGUAGGUCAAUUUUUUAUAUGUUUGCUAUCAUACCAGACAAUUUCCACCAUAUAAACCAACUAACAUGUUAUAUUUAUGUUGGUGUUUGUUGAAUAUGUUUGUUCAAAUGACUGACCUAUGGUUGACACAAUAAAAAACCGUAAUGCAAACCUUAAAAAAAGAGGGGUGGGGGGUAAUGACAUAAUU